Molecule: unclassified non-coding RNA, 436 nt
Filed under: Hevea brasiliensis (rubber tree)
Lineage: Eukaryota; Viridiplantae; Streptophyta; Magnoliopsida; Malpighiales; Euphorbiaceae
Source: RNAcentral
CUUUUUGACAGGAAAGCAUUCAUUCCAUCUCCAAACGCCAAUUAAGUAGAAUCAAUAUUUGAUGUUUCCGUAGGAAUGUUUCUCAAGGUUUUAUCAUUUUCAAUUAGAUUUCAAAAUUAUAUCUGUCAAACUUUCAUUAUUGGCAUAUAUGAAUGAUGAAUGCAGGAUAAGAACCGCAUGGGCAAAGGGAGAAACAACUGAUGGGAUACAAAGUGUUUACUUAAUUUCUUUGACUAUGAGCCAGGGAGCCAAACGUAUGUGAUUUGGGCUUUAAUGGCUGGAACGAUGAUUAGGAUUGCAUCAAUUGUCUACAGCAGGCACUGCAUAUUCAGAGCAGAGGUAACGGACUGGUUUAGGUCGUGGUUCAAAAAUUGAAUCGUUAAGUCACCUACAUGAAUACCAUAGUGUAAUAAUCUUUGAGUUGCUUGGAUUGCGG